UGGUGUAGCUCAGUCGGUAGAGCAGCGCAUUCGUAAUGCGCAGGUCGCAAGUUCAAGUCUCGUCACC
This 67-nucleotide transfer RNA is filed under the name bovine gut metagenome. It matches the Rfam family "tRNA". Rfam says of the family: Transfer RNA (tRNA) molecules are approximately 80 nucleotides in length. Their secondary structure includes four short double-helical elements and three loops (D, anti-codon, and T loops). The record is from RNAcentral.